UGGUCUGUUCAGAUUGUCUCAGGGCAUA
Molecule: non-coding RNA, 28 nt
Filed under: Mus musculus (house mouse)
Lineage: Eukaryota; Metazoa; Chordata; Mammalia; Rodentia; Muridae
Source: RNAcentral